AAGAAGACCCAUGUGAAACGUGUGAAGUCAUCCACAAUAACCAGUAUGUAUUUUUUGUGAUGAAGACUGGCUACGGUAGAUGGAUCACAGAGAUCAAUGUGUAAGAGUUCCAAUGGCUCAGAUAUUGAGGAGUCAAUCACCGUGAGGUGACUUGCAUUGAAUUGCUUUCCACACUCACAUGCAGGACAGAGAGUAUCAUUAUUGAACUUGAGGAUUGGAAGACCUCUGACUAGUUCUCCGAUGACCAAAUUGUUGAUGUAUAUGAAGUUAAGAUGAGUAAGCUUACGGUGUCGUAGCCAGCUGACUUCGGAUACGGCUUUAGAUAGAAAGCAUAACUGUAGUUUGCCUAUGUUCAGAGAUACAUCCAGAGGGUACAUAGUACCUUCGGAUCUAGACUUGAUCAGACAAGUGCUCUUAUCGCUUGUCAUUACAUAGCAAAAUUGGUCAUCAAAUUCAACACGAUGGCCUGCUUUACAUAGUUGACCAACACUGAUGAGAUUGUGUUUAAGGUCUUCUACAUAAGCAACCUUUUGCAUAGAGAAGUUUCCCGUAGUGAGAACACUAUAACCUCGGAUUAUCCCAUUCGCAUUGUUCCCAAAUGUGACAUUUCCACCUUUGCAAAUUGGCCUAAAAUAUCGAAGGUAUUCCAACCUUCCCUUCAUGUGCAAGGAGUAGGCACUGUCAAUUAACCAUUAUUCUUCUUCUUCCUCCUUGCACAAGGCCUGAAAAUUACACGGUUAGUUUAGGCAUCCAAACUAGUUUGGAGCCUGGGACAAUAGAUGAGUUUCUGAUUAAUGCAUGAAAAGAGGUUGCAGGGACUGGUUUCGUGUCAACUUUCAAUCCUAGUCCUGGGUGUUUAUGAGUUUUUGGAGCGUUGUGCCUUUUUGAAAAGUUACAAGGUUUCUGAAAGGAUCAGUUUUGACAUGAGAUAACUUUUUCUGACAACUACAUUGACAUUGACAAGCUGACAUUUUGUAUUUUGUUUUGGCACUUUGUUUGGUCAGCGGUCGGAAGGAUGUGGUUGAUUUAUGACUGGUCUGAGGUUGGUAUGAUCUGACAUGUGUGCUGUUGGAUUUAGAAAAAGUUUGUCUCGAAGAAGAUUUUGCACGUGUAUAAACCUUGGACCUUUUCUUGGGAUUUGGUAAAAUGCCCUUCCACUUGUUGAAAUUUUGAUGUGAUUUUAAAAGUGUUGGAGUGGUUAAGAUACCCUUCCAUUUUGGAUCAUCUGAGGAAUAGAUUUGAAAACCAUUGUUUCGAAAAGACCUUUCUUUCUUUUGCGUUUUGUCAGAUGAGUGAGGAAUGGAUGUUGAAACUGCACAUUCCUUUUUGCAUGUUUUCUUGAUGGGAUAGUUUUUCGAAAAAUAGUGUGUAAAAACAAACUUUUAUGGACUCUUAGAUUUUGGAAAUCUGGUAUGUCUUUUAUUUUUAGAAAAGGUUUGUCGAUUUGUGCCUCAAGAUCGAAUAUCCUCUUUGAAAGCCUUUUUUGCUAAAGUUUUUGGAGAUCUGCAAUCAUUAGUGUUCAACUACGGUUUCCUGGAAGCCUUUGAAAAGUUUUGACAACGAGGGCUUGACUCAUCUGAACUUGAAGAUUCAGGGUUUUGAGAGCAUUGACCUACUUCAAAGUUCUCUAUGGGUAGUUCAUGGUGAAUUGGUUGAAGAGUCACAUAACUUUUGAUUGUAGACUUUGGUAAGGAAGACUUAGCUACCAUAGCGUAAGUCUGAGUUCUGAAUGGAGUGAGAUUUUUCUGAGAGUCGUGAUUGCAGUGAGAGGCACUGCGAUCUGAGGAUAAGGGUGGAAAGUCCUGUGAGACUUCGGGACUUUCUAUGACAAUCUCUUCAUCAACAACGGAUGAGGUCUGAUAAUUUGGGUUGAUUGUGCUACAUAUAGGAGGUUAAUCACAUGUGUGAUCCGAAACCUCAGGCGCAAUUUCCUCAAUGACACAAUUAUUACUUGGAUUAUGAAGUCUACCGAAGUGUGUUCUGAUAUCUUCAGGAAAAGUCUUGUCAUUGACUGGAAAAUGAAAUUCUCGGUCCGGAGGGACAUAGAGUCGAUCUUUUUUAAACCGGGGUGAGGAAUCCUCUGCGGUAGGAUAUCCAUUGGACUAAUCCCAAUUGUAUGUAUUGUCCACGGUUCCAUUAUAACCAAAUUUUCAAUAGCUUCACUUUCAUUGAACAAAUUUUCUAUUAAUAGAUUUAUGCGUACAAUCUCAGUUUGAGCUAAAUCUCUCUGGUUCAAAGCUAUCUCUAGUUGUGUUUCACUCAACAUUCUUGCACCUUUUUCUAACUGUAAAUCUCUUUCUAACAUGGCCAUUUUGAGUCUUUUGUUGUCCAGUCGUCCUCUCAUAUGAAACAUCUCUUAGGACGCUAUGUCAUUCUCAUAUAAGGCUAUGUUGUAGUCUGAAAGGACGGCAUCACAUGUGUCAUUAAGAUUGUCUAUGAAAGGUUGACAGUCAUGCAUGUUAUAGUUUAGAGUUUGGAUCAUGAGUUUUACAUGUUCGACGAUGCUUAGAGUUCCAUCCUUUGCCAUGUAGCAGUAGUUCCUUUCCAGCUUUGUAGACCCAUCAUCAUCAUCAGCAGUUGCUAGCAUGCAGAUCUUGCCUUUUACUUUGAUAUUGUUGAUGGUUUCUUCUUCAUCUCCGGAUGACCAAACUUCAUGGUCUCUUUUGACAUGAGCCACAUACGCCCUAUCCUUUUCCUUUUCCUCCAGUUCUUGAGCCAUUCUAAGGUAGAAUGCUCUGUCUUUCACCACGUUAGCUUUGCAAUCCUUUGCAAAAUGAUUCUCUUUGUUGCACUUGUGACAUAUUACACCAUCACUUUUGGCUUCUGAAGGAGUACCAGAGUCAGAGGUUUGAAUGGACUGCGGUGCCUCCUUUGGUUGAGUGUUUUGAGAUUGCGGUUGUCGGUAAGAGUUUUUAGGGUAAUGAGAGUGAUUGUUUUGUGGGUUGAAGUUACGUUUGAAAGGAGGUUUGUUGAAUUGUUGAUUCUUGCGAAAAGAGUGAGGUGGUAGCCGGUUGAACUGUUUACUAACAAGAGCAAUAGCCUUCUGAAAUUCUUCAUCAUCAUCAUACUCUGAGUCAGCUUCGUAUGACUGCGGUGAAGUGUCAUACGAGGGAGAGUAAGACUGGUUGAGAGGAGCUUGUGCUACAAGAGCAAGUGGUCCUCCGAAGUCAGUACAGUCUUUGAGUACGGUGGAUUCUUGUGCUUGCAAUUCCCCAUAUAGCUUGUAGAGAGACAGGGAACGAAUCUUUCUAUCUCCUUGAACUAUCAUCUUAGCAGUAGUCCAAUGUCUUCCCAAACCGUUGAGAAAUUUAAGGUUUGUUUCAUGGUUACUGCGGAUGGUGCCAGCAUUUGAUAACUUAGUAACUAUCAGCUUGAACCUUUUGAAAGAGUCUUCUAAACUUUCGCCAGCAUGAGCUUUGAAGUUGUUGAAUUUAUUGAGUGCAGUUGUGAGCUUCUUAUCUUGAGCUUGUUCUAAGCCUUCAUACAAGUUCUUAAGAACAUCCCGGAUCUCUUUUGCUGAUUUACAGUUUAUGAUAAUGUCGAGGUUGUCAGGAGCAACUCCACAAGAGAUUUCAUAAAAAGCAACACAUCAUUUUCCAUUUUAUCAAAGAUCAUCCUUGGUGGGAAGGUUCAUGACUGGUUGUCCUCCUCCUAGUCUGGCUGUGGCGCCAUCAGUUUGAACAGUUGUAAGAAUAGGGACAUGUGGCGCUUCUUCAACAUAUCACCAUACAUCUCUACCAAGUCACCUUAAGUAUCUUUCCAUUCUUUGAGACCAGUGAUGGUAUUCAUUUGCCACCAAUAUUGGAGCUCGAUUUAAACCACCAACACUUUUGGAAACAUUUAGAGAAAGUGCUUGUGCCAUUUUUCCUUGUUUUUUUUUUUGUUUUAAGAAAUGAGCUUCAGUGGUAUAGAAGGCCCUUUGAAAAUCAGAGUUCCGUUUUUCAAAGAGCAACCACUAUGGCUCUAAUAUCGAUUGUUGAGAGAAAAACUUGAGACACACUUGAACAAACGUUAGAACAAGUAUAGUUGCGGAAUUAGUUAAUCUCAAAGGAUCUAAAAUCUCAACAACAAUAAGUUAAUGAGUUAGAUAGUUAGAUAGUUAGUUGCGGAAAUGUAAGGAAGCAUAAAUGACAGCAAGUGAUAUAUCAAGUAAACACAUAAGUUGAUUCAUAACAAGGAUUGCAUUCAAACCAAGUUAGUGAGUGAGAUCAAUCUUAGUGAUAAAGUCACGAACGACUUGCUCCAAAGAGAAGUAUUUAACAGUUAUGUUCGAGAGGAUUUAGAGAGUAAGAAAGAUAUGAGAUGCGUAAGAGAAAAUACUUGAAGAUAAUUCAGAGUGAUAAAUGUGUUAAAGAGAGAUGUCUAUUUGAUUGAGAAAGAGUGAGCUCUAUUUAUAGAGACUUAAGAAUUACAUUUGAUUCACUCUCUAAGAGUAGCUAUGCAAGGCAUACUAGACAAUAGAGAGUAUUACAUAAAGAUAGAUAAAAAUAAACUAAGUCAAGUAAGAAGACUGCGGUUGACUAGAUGACAUCGGAUGAGGCUGCUGAUGGAAGCUUGACUACGGAUGCUUGUAGGCUGCGGAAGACUAAAUUAAGAGGUUCACUUCAUGUUUCAACAGGUAAUACACCAAGGUUUUCAUUCUAAUGGAACACACUUUCAAAAAACUAUAAUAGGUAUAGUUGUAACAUCCCAAAAAUACAGUCUAAAAAUUUUGUUUUAAUUUAAUAAUAAAACCAUAGUUAUCGAACAUCAUAUAAAAAUCAUAAGCAAUGAAUAUCAAAAUAUCGUAACAAUUGUCAAAAUAUCAGAGUAUAAACAUCCCAGCCUGAACAGAUGGUGUGUGCACUGCAAUCUUCCCGAGCUCCUCUUUUGAAAAAUGAGUACCUGAAAACAAAAAUGAAACUGUAAGCACGAAGCUUAGUAAGCUCCCCCAAACUACCACAUACCAUACAAUAACAUAUAAAGCAAAUAUUGGGCCUUGACCACUACAUCGGACCGAAGUCCGGAAUAACUAGGGCCACGCCCACUGCAUCAUACCGACGUCCAGAAUAACUAGGGCCUGCAUCAGACCGAAGUCCGAAAUAACUAGGGCCUUGCCCGCUGCAUCGGACCGAAGUCCGGACUAACUAGGGCCUCGCCCGCUGCAUUGGCCCGAAGUCCGGAAUAACUAGGGCCUUGCCCGCUGCAUCUAACCGAAGUCCGGAAUAAAAUGAACAUAUCAUAAACAUGAUCGUAAACAUAUAACAUAAUCACAUAUACAUGCAUGAAUCAUAAAGACAUCAAGCAUAAAAAACUACUUCUCGGGACUACCCCCGGCAUCGGACGACAGCCCGGAACUACUUUCAUCUAAACGCGCCGACAUUGUGGCCGUAGACCUGCUCCUACUGGAAGGAAACUCGCCUCUCACUGCUGAAGUCCCGCUGACAAAACCCUAGCUGCUAGAUGACAUAUUCCCGAAUCUGUCAAUUAUCAAAAUAACACCCAAUUAAUAAUUGGGUUCCAACUCAUAACCAUAAGUCCAUACAUGGGGUAAAAGACUACUUUACCCCUAUCUUAGCUUGACUCAAGCCCAAGGCCCAAUCCAAAGGCCCAAAAGUCUAGUAAUGGACCAAGGCCCAACUAUGGCCCAUAUAUGCCCAAUUUUCCCAAUUGGGCCCAAGUCCCUACAUGGUCUUGAUCAAAGGCUUAACCAUUUAGUCUAGUCCAACAUUUGACAUUCUAUUGGCCCAAUAUCAUAUAACCAUCAAGGCCCAAACUAUGGCCCGUCCAUGGCCCAAUUUUCCAAAUUAGGCCCAAUCCUUCAUAUGGGCCUUACCCUAAAGCCCAACUAAUUACUGUAGUCCAUUUAAUUAUUCUUCGAUGACCCAUUAAUAAACCAAUUACCAAAGCCGAAAGGAAAGGCCCAACUCCAGGCCCAAGUGAAAUUAGGGUUUCACAUAAAUUGACGAUGAGGGUCAAGUGUUUCUCACUCAACCCAUUAAGAUCUUAACCCACUUAGGACUUAAUCCAUUAAGCCCAAUAUUGCUUAGAUUAAUUUCUGCCAAUGAUUAUUAUCUAAUAUUUCAAGUUAUUAAAUAAUUCUUGUGUGUUUCCCGAUAAAUUCUCAAAAUUAGGGUUUUAUUGGCAUUAGGGAUUUCCAAACCCUAAUUAGGGUUUCCAACCCAAAUACUAGCCCAUUUAUCAAUUUGUUGGGCCUUUAGGUCAAUUAGGGCUUUAUUAGGCCUAUUAGGCCAACUAGGAUAUCAUUAAGCCCAUUAGUCACAUGCUUGGGCUUUUAGGUCCAUUAAGCUUCAUUGAGCCGAUUAAGGCUUAUCAAGCCCAUUAGGGUUUUAAUCCCUUGUCCAACAUUCCAAACGAACCACAACACAAACGAGGCACACCGCCGCCCGACAGGGCGACCGGUGGUGGCAGGAGGCGGCAGCCACCACCCUACGGUGGUGAUUUUGAGAUUUCUAUUAUUAUUGCGUCUUUUGUUACAAAUUACAACAAAAAUCCCAAAAAUAAACACACACACACUAAAAUACACCCACCCAUGGUGGUACAAGGCAGCAGCCACCACCUCACGGUGGUGGCGGUGGCUUUCUUUGAUUUUCCGGCCAAUGAACACUUCAUGCUACUCUUCAUCGGAAUAAACCCGCACACACCCAUAUGUACUCACAGCCACCCCACACACGGUGGUCGAAGGUGGCAGAAACAAAAUGGUGGCAGCCACCAUGGUGGCUCUCUUCAACAGCCGGCCAGCCAACAAAAUGCACAAUACAAGAGGGCAAUAACAAUUUACACUCACAUACACGCAAAGCAUGAGCACCCACCCCGCAGUAACACUUAAGACCCGAAGGAGGAAGACGGGGACGGAUAAGCUAGGUUCAGCGGCUACGAUCGGCGUUGUCAGUGGCAGAUAAAGCUGGAAAUGAAACAGAAGAGGGAGAAGAGAGGGAGCGUUCGAGAGGGACAGCGUUUCUGGUGGUUCCAUGAUUCCCACAUGACAACAGCACCUUCACGAUGCUCCUUUGACCGGCCAUGGUAGUUUUGCGAUGUUCGGGGGUUGGCUUCAACGACUUCUUGUCUUCACGGUGGCGGAGGAAGGAUGACCUCGGUUGGGGAAUAACCUGCUUGCCGGACUCAUCUAAUCGGAACCGCAAGGUAGGGUGGCGUCUGGAGGUGAAGAAGGGGGGAGGCAUAAGGAGAUGACGGCUGGAAGGGUUUGCUAGGGUUAGGGUUACAGAUCCUUAUAUACUCGAUCCCAUUAUAAGAGUUUUCCAUAAUGACCAGAAUGGUCCCCCCAGCUCUAAUUAAUUUCGAAAUAUAUCCAUAUUUUACACUUUUAACACUGCCUUCAGAAAUCUUUACAAAUCGAAUCCAAAACUUACCUUUUAAGCCUUGAUCCCAUAAAUUUCUUUCAUAAUAGAUCCCUAAAUUACCAAUAAACCCUUAAGCCUUCAAAUCUUUUCAAUUUAAGUCGAUAAAUUACCAAACGCACCCUGGCCUCCAAAAUCCCUUUCAAUUUAAUCCCGAACUUACACUUUUAACCCCUGACUUUUAAAAUUCUUCACAAAUUAGUCUGGGGCUUACAUUUACUAAUUUAUUUAAAUAAACGGGGCGUUACAACUCUCCCCCACUUAAAUUAGAUUUCAUCAUAGAAAUCAUUUCUUACCAUUCCUUAUACACCCAACCACUAUAGUGAUAUGGUCACCAUCCUGGGCACACACUAGCCUCCUCAGGGUAGCCAUGACCAAUCUUUGCAAAGACUUAAAUUCCAUUGGAGAACGGAUUCCUCACAACAGUCCAUAUCUACUCUGGCUGAUAUCUGCUGUCUUGAGAUGGUCUGAUUCCCUGACAGACCACUCAUACUAAAUCAUUAUAAAUGAACCCUGAGGUGGGUGACUAAGCAUUACUCAUUAAUCUGUUAUGCUUAUCCUACAUGAGAUCCUCAAAUACCAUUACUGCUGGAGAUCCAAAACUGUCUGAAACAUUGAUCUGCCUGAAAAUACUAAACUGCCUGAAACACUGAACUGCCUAAAACACUGAACUGCCUGAAACACUAAACUGCCUGAAACUGUAUGCUGCCACAUGGUUGCUUUCCAACAUCUACCAAGACCUACUUGGUCUCAAUUUUUUGCCAAUCAUCUGAAAUAUCGGGUUCCGGCCCGGGUGCGAAGCCAAAUGGCUCCCGCUUAGUCUCCUCACACAACUUCCGAAUGAAAUCCUUCUCUGGAACUAGUUGCCACUAGUUAUCAUGCCACUGAGGCUCUAAUAACUUUCUGAUCUAACUGAUCGAGUCCAUACGUCGAAUGCUGACGUCACCAAACCCAAGGUUAAAAGUGAUUGCCACAUGACCAUUGGUAGCCUUAUGUCAUGAAUGACCUUAUGCAGUCCACUACUUCCUUGCUCUCAUAGAUGUAGUGGCGCUUCUACAGUCUCAUCACUGGCUUAACUAGGUCUAAUCUAUCUGGGUAAUUCCGAAAUCCAAUUCGUGGAUUUCCAUAUCCUCACUGCUACACCCGAACUGGUGGGUACUACUGUUCUUUCCGCAUCCUAACAACGCACUCACGCCAUCUACCAACCUAGUCAAUGCUACGGCUACACCCUAAGACUUACAACACUCUAUCACUCUCUGGCUGCUAGUGAAUAUUACGGCUACUCUCGUAGACUUACAACACUCUAAUACUAUAUGGCUGCUAGUGAAUGCUACAGCUACACCCGCAGACUUAUAACACUCUAACACUAUCUGGCUACUAGUGAAUGCUAUGGCUACACCCGCAAACUUAUAACACUCUCCAUACUGCAUUGAACAUGCGCUUGACCCGUACUCAACUAAACUCAUGUCCAUAAUGGAAUACCCAACCUGAUUCCCUAAUGUGACGUCCUCAAAAUCACGGCCAGAAAAGACCGGUUUGUUUAUGCUUUGUUUAAAAAUCAGAGUUACAUUUUAAAUGAAAGUGUUGCGGAAUUUGUCCCAAAACAAAAUAUGAUAAGGAUUUAUCAAAAGCAUUUCCAUAGAAAUGUAUUUCAUUAAAAGACUUGGGAUGUCAUGUUCGUACAGAUCAAAAGCAUAAACAGUACAAUAUAAGCCUUACUACAUUAUUUCAUAUCUACAGGCCUAUAUCCGUAAUCCCUCGUCCAAAACAUCACACCUAUGCUCAUGCGCCACUACCUGUAAUACAUAAAACUGAGUGGGUCAGGCUUGGGAGCCUGGUGAGCACAUAGGGUUUUCAACCCACAAUAAAUAAGUUUAUUAAUUUCAUCGAUCAACAAUAACCCGAUUACCCGUUCCCGUUAUCCUCACUUUACGUCCCUAAACACCUAUCAUAAGGGACCUAGCCUAAGGAUCAUCAUCGGGACGGACACUACUGCUAAGGGGAUUCCUCAGCAAUAAAUGUCCUAAAGGCAACCAUGUGGGGGAUGGAGUACACCGGUGAACAUAUCGUUCACAAACACCUACAGGUUGCGAGCCUGCUAGUGUUCCACUGGACUGUCUAGAAGAGUCCGUGGUCGUCAUCCAUACUCCGCUAGAUGACAGAAUCAACAACAUCAACAUCGAGGCCUCUCAUCAUUUUAUCACACAUCACCUAUUGCAUCUACCCAUGUUUUACCCCAACAUUUUCGUAGAUAUAAAAUACAUAUACAGUUUAAAUCAUUGAAAACAUGUAUAACAACGUUCAUCUAGCAUAGAUAGCAAGUAUUCAGAUAAUAUGCACACAUAGCACGUAAUUUAUAUAAAAUACUUCAUAUCUAUGUGUAAGUUGAAAGUAACUAUGCACUCACUUGUUAAGGUGAUGAUUCCAAAAUCGGGCAGCGCUUGCUUCUAACGAUUCUAUUUUCCUUCGACGAAACCUAGCAUUAUUAUCGCUAAAUUUUAGUCUAAUAUUUACCGUGACCAACUAUUAGUCUUAGUAUUAUUAUUAUUAUAUAAGCGUUAAACAAUAUUUUCCAACCACUAUGUACAGACAGGGGCCAGACAUAAAACACCGGAGGGCAGGACCAUUUUGGCAUAUAGCACUUCUGAAAUCCAACAACCCUAUGCGGCCCUUUAAACCAGAUUCCCCGUACCGCGAGUAGUUAAAAAAAAUAUUAUAACGACACUUAUAUAAGUUAUAAUAAUAGCUCAAAUAUUUAUUAUAAGUUCAUAAUAACAAUACUAAUUUUAAAUAUAAGCUAUAUUAAAAUAAGGUAAGCAUAACUUACUUACAAGGGGGUUUUAGCUAGGAGUCGGGCUCUGCAGGGGCAGAACUUCGUCGCUGAAUCUUUCUAAGAAAGAUUCGUGCAGCGCUUCAGCGCUCACCUUACUAUACUAAGCUACAGAAAGAGAAGUCGAAUCACGAGGGACCGAAAUGCUCGGGGGAUAAGGAGAGAAAGACUCUUGAAUCAAGAGAAUGGUGCAAGAAAUAUGAGAGCCCAAGGCUCUUAUUUAUACUAAUUGAAUUUUCAAAAACUACCCUCCAUAAUUACUUAAUGACCUUUUAGUUAUAUAAACAACUAAACACCCCUCUAUAAUACUAUUAUAAAUGGAUUUAAUGAUAUUUGUACUAAACUAAUGUCGAAAGAACUCAACAUUAGUCUUAUAAUGACCGCAUCGUCGAUACCUUUCUAAUGAUAUAUACAUAUGUAUAUAUAUGUGUACGUAUACAUGAUUUAUACUUUAUUUUAAUACGUAAAUAUGCUAUUAUAAUUUGUAACUCGUUCAUACGAACUCCGUUUUUGACGUUCUUUAUAUCCACGCGUAGGUGAAGACGUACUCUACAACUUUCGUUUAGACUCCGUCGGCUAAUUUUGACUUUAUUUUUAAAGUUAUAUUUUUAACAAGCCGGGACAGGAUUGGUCUGUUUAAAAUCUCAUAACUUCUUCAUACGAAGUCAGAUUUGGGCGUUCUUUUUAUCGAUGUUCUUAGUUUAACAUAUUCUACGACUUUCGUUUAGAUCACUAAGGCUAAAUCUCGCUCUAUCGUAAAUUCACUAUUCACGCUUCCCGGUAUCGUGCCGGUUCUGUCGUGAAACUUCGACGGGUCAUAACUUCUUCGUUAUAACUCGGAUUUCGGCGUUCCUUAUAUGCACGGAAACCUUGAGACAUAUUCUACAACUUUAUGUAGAGAUAUCGGGAUUAUCUCACACUUUAAUUUUGACGCUCAUUUUUAUUCUUUAUUAAUUAUACAUUUAUAAUUAAAUAAUAAACACAUAUAAUUCACAUAAUACUCAAAUAUUUCAUCUUUAUUACUUCAAAAAGAGUUACAAGAGUUGACCUAGACUAUUACAUUGACAAAAAUGCUUAGCCCUGAAACCCGGGCGUUACAAUUCUCUCCCCCUUAGGAUGAUUCCGUCCCGGAAUCAUGCAUCAGCAAACAGAUGUGGAUAGCGACUCAUCAUGUCAUCCUCUGUUUCCCAAGUGAGAUUCGGCCCAUUCGAAUGUUUCCAUCGGACUAGCACCAAGUCGACCAUCUUGCGUCGUAACUUCUUAGUCUUACGGUCAACAAUUGCCUCAGGCUCUUCGAUCAACCUUUUAUUUUCAUCCAUCCUUAACUCUGAGAUUGGAAUUAUGUCGGGAACAUCUCCCGUGAAUUUCCUCAAAUAACACACAUGGAAGGUGUUAUGAAUACCAUUGAGUUCUUCGGGCAAUUCCAGCUUGUAAGCUUGGUUCCCUAUCUUCUGAAGAACUUUGAACGGUCCAAUAAACCUUGGACUCAACUUUCCUCGUUUCCCAAAUCGUAUAAGUCCCUUCCACGGUGAGACUUUAAGCAAAACGGAAUCCCCAACUUCGAAAGUUAUCGGUCGUCUUUUCUUGUCAGCAUAGCUCUUCUGACGAUCCUGGGCUGCUAACAUCCUUUCCCUAAUCACCUUCAACUUCUCAGCAGUCUCAUGGACUAUCUCGGGGCCCAUAAACUGCUUCUCUCCGGCUUCAAGCCAACAAGACGGCGUACGACACUUCUGCCCAUACAAGGCUUGAUAAGGAGCCAUCUUGAUGCUCGAGUGAAAACUAUUGUUGUAGGAAAAUUCUACCAGAGGUAAGUGCUCGUCCCAAUUCCCUUGGAAUUCGAGGGUACAUGCUCUCAGCAUAUCUUCCAGCGUCUGAAUCGUUCUUUCGCUCUGACCAUCAGUUUGCGGAUGAUAAGCAGUACUCAAACACAACUUUGUACCUAACUCCUCUUGUAGACUCCUCCAAAACCUUGACGUGAAACGACUAUCACGAUCUGAUACAAUCGUAAGAGGGACACCGUGAAGUCUUACAAUUUCCUUCACGUAAGCAUUUGCGAGCUUAUCCAUAGACCACUUCUCGUUGGCUGCUAUGAAGUGUGCACUCUUGGUGAAACGAUCCACGACUACCCAAAUCAUGUCGUGACCGUUCUUCGUCCUGGGCAGUUUAGUCACAAAAUCCAUGGUGAUGUCUUCCCAUUUACCCAUGGGUACAGGUAAAGGUUCUAAACUCCCAUACGGUUUCUGAUGUUGUGCCUUAACCCUCGCACAUGUUACGCACUCGGCCACAUACUUCGCAACAUCGAGCUUCAUCGUCGGCCACCAGUAGUAGGGUUUUAGGUCCCUAUACAUUUUAGUGCUACCGGGAUGAAUCGAGUACAUGGUCUUGUGUGCUUCUUCCAUCAGAAGAUCUCUUAUUCCUCCCGUCUUAGGUACCCAAAUUCGAUCUUGGAAUACCUUCAGUCCUCGACUGUUUGUACCAAACACUAACGUUCUUCCCAAACGUUCUUCCUUUCGGUCAUUUUUCUCUAAAGCUUCUUCUUGAGCUUUCCUGAUACUUUCCACAAUCGUCGAGACGACUUCAAUUCUUAACGCUCUUGGCCUUUUCCUUUCCAGAUUGACUUUCCGACUGAGAGCAUCAGCAACAAUAUUUGCUUUACCUGGGUGGUAAAGUAUCUCACAGUCGUAGUCCUUGAGAAGUUCUAGCCAGCGUCGUUGCCUCAUGUUCAACUCCUUCUGAUUAAAGAGAUACUGGAGACUCUUAUGAUCAGUGAAGAGCUUGCACUUCGUGCCGUAGAGGUAAUGCCUCCAUAUCUUUAAGGCAAAAACUACCGCUGCCAACUCCAGAUCAUGAGUGGGGUAGUUCUUUUCGUGCUCUUUCAAUUGUCGAGAUGCGUAUGCUAUCACCUUUUCUCUUUGGGUCAGAACACAACCCAACCCGACUCCAGAAGCGUCACUAUAAACCGCGAAAUCUUCGACUCCAUCGGGUAGAGAAAGUAUCGGUGCUUCACAUAACUUCUUCUUUAGCUUCUCGAAUGCCUCAUCGUGUUUCUCACUCCACGUAUACGUAGCUCCUUUAUGAGUCAAAGCUGUUAAUGGAGCAGCUAUCGAAGAAAAGCCUUGGAUAAAUCGUCGAUAAUAUCCGGCUAAUCCUAGAAAGCUUCGAAUCUCCGUGGGACUCUUUGGACGUUCCCACUUCAUUACAGCCUCGAUCUUUGCGGGGUCAACCAUUAUUCCCUCCUGGUUAACAACAUGACCCAAGAAUUGGACUUCCCGUAUCCAAAAGUCGCAUUUGGAGAACUUUGCAAAAAGCUUCUCCUUCUUCAACACUUCUAAUACUUCCCGUAGAUGCUUGCCAUGCUCCUCUUGGCUUUUCGAGUAGAUGAGAAUGUCGUCGAUGAACACUAUCACGGAUUUAUCGAGGAAUGGUUUACAAACCCUAUUCAUCAAAUCCAUGAAUGCUGCGGGAGCAUUGGUUAGCCCGAAUGACAUAACCAAGAACUCGUAGUGUCCAUAUCUCGUUCUGAAUGCAGUCUUCUCAAUAUCCUGCUUUCUCACCUUUAGCUGAUGAUAUCCUGACCUAAGAUCGAUCUUUGAGAAGUAGCUCGAACCUUGCAGCUGAUCGAAUAGGUCAUCAAUCCUCGGCAAUGGAUACUUGUUCUUCACCGUUGCCUUAUUCAGCUCUCGGUAGUCUAUACACAUUCUCAUACUUCCGUCCUUCUUCUUCACGAAUAACACCGGAGCUCCCCAGGGUGAUGAACUAGGUCGAAUAAAACCGUUGUCCAACAGCUCCUGAAGUUGCGUCAUGAGCUCCUUCAUCUCCGUCGGUGCUAAUCGGUAAGGUGCCUUUGCUAUCGGUGUUGUUCCUGGUAACAAGUCUAUACGAAACUCCACUUGCCUAUCAGGUGGUAAUCCGGGAAGAUCUUCGGGAAAGACUUCCGGAUAAUCACACACAACCGGUAUAUUCUGCACCUCUUUCUUCUCCUUCUUGGCAUCGAUUACGAAUGCCAAGUAUGAUGCACAUCCUUUGGACAAACAUUUCCUGGCUUUCAUCAGGGAGAUGAUUCCAGAAUUCACUCUGCGUUUGUCCCCAUACACCAUAAAUGAUUCUUUUCCGGGUGGGUUUACCUUUACUAUCUUCUUUCGGCAUUGAAUCUCAGCAUCGUUGGCGCUAAGCCAAUCCAUACCCAAAACGAUGUCGAAACCGUUUAACUCUAUGGGUAAUAGCUCUUCGUGGAAUUCGUUUCCGUUUAGGUCAAUGACGAUGUUCCUAAUACGAUUACUAACAGGUACGAAUUUGCCACUGGCAACUUCUACAAUCAGGGCAUUAUCUAGUUUUUCUACAGGCAAUGCUAAUUUCCCACCAAAUUUAUGCGACACAAAGGAGUAGUUGGCUCCGGAAUCAAAUAGUAUAUUUGCAGGCAAACCAUUUACAAGAAAGGUACCUGAAGCGACGUCUGCUGCCUCCUUUGCAGCCUCGAGCGUCAUCUGGAAGGCUCUCGCCUUCGGCUUCGGUGGUAUGUUGGGUCUUCCUGUCUCCUUCUUCUUCGGGCAGUCCUUCAAAAUGUGCCCUUCUUCAUUGCACCCAUAACAGGCUUUCUGGUUGAGGGUGCAUUCAUUGGCGUAGUGCCCAGGCUUUCCGCACUUGUAACAAGUGACCCCUCCGUCACACUUCCCAGAGUGCUUCUUCUUGCACUUGUCACACCACUUCGCUUCUGAUCCUCCUCCCCUCGAACCAGACUUCGAGAAUCUACUCUUCUUGUUGGACUUCGAGGAUCCAUUGAACUUCCGUUUCUCACCAACCUCAGCCCUCUCCAGACCUCUUUCCUUUUGUUGGGUCUCCACGUUCUUAGCUGCUCGAACAGCUGAUUUCAGAGUGGUUGCCAUCUUGACUGUUGGGCCAAAGUCAGCCGGCAGUCCGUUUGCGAAUUUCUCAAUUUUGGAAAGUUCGGUUGGCACUAGGUAUGGAAACAACUUCAUCUUUUCCGUAAAUGCAGCAGCAUAGUCAUCGAUGCUCAUUCUCCCCUUCUUCAAAUUUUGGAACUCAUUGUUCAGAUCAAUCAGGUCUAUCUCUGAACAGUACUGCGCCUUCAGUUGUUCCAAGAACUCAUCCCAUGACAUUUUCAGAGCUUCUCCCCGUGGCAUUGUAUCUGCCAAUAGCUUCCACCAGCUCAAGACUCCAGUUUUCAAUUGUCUCACAGCGAAGACAGUCUUCUGCUUCUCGCUGCAGUCGCAGCUCUCAAACACCAUCUCCAUCUCGGAGAUCCAGUCCAUAAUCUCAACAGGCUUUGGGCUUCCUGAGAGACUUGGUGGUUUCGCACCCAAGAAAUUUUUGUACAUCCGCCCAUCCUUGUUGUUUCUCCCUUCUGGGCCAUCCUUUUGCUCACCUUGAGUCCCUACUUGACUCACUUGGCGGCUAUAGUUCCCUUCCUCAGAUGGCUCGGGAACUGGCUCCGUCGGUUCAACAUGUAUGGUAGGUUCGUCCCUAUUUUCGUGGAGCAUCCGUCUCAUUUCUUCCCUUUGUUCAGCUAGCAUAGCCUGAAUCAUGGCUUGAACUCCAGCCAUGGUGACUGGCUCAGGUGCAACUUCUUCAACAACAGGUAUUUGCUGAACCACUGGGGGUUGGUUCCUACCUCCAUUUGCGUUCACGUUUCCGCUACGGGUCCUUGCCAUCUUGAUCUAUACACCGAAUAAGGUGAAUUUAGAUCUUUAUUUAGGAUAGACGUUUUAAAUCGUCCUUAUCACUCCGAAACGUUUACAUGCUAGUUCUAAUAUCGUAGUCGUACGUUUAGAAUCCUAAACACAUAAGGUUUCCAGAUCCGGUCGGCAACAGACCAUAGAUCCGAACAAUUAACAGCAUAUUAUGCACAAAGCAUUUAGCACAUAAAAGCAUUUUAGGCACAAUUCCUAAAAUAAGCUAGUGCUCACACCUCACAAUCAUCGCUUAGCAUUCUAAGUUUAAGUCUAGAAAUCCUACAAAUUCCUAGUUCGCUUAAACUAAUGCUCUGAUACCAACUGUGACAUCCCCAAAAUCACGGCCAGAAAAGACCGGUUUGUUUAUGCUUUGUUUAAAAAUCAGAGUUACAUUUUAAAUGAAAGUGUUGCGGAAUUUGUCCCAAAACAAAAAUAUGAUAAAGAUUUAUCAAAAGCAUUUCCAUAGAAAUGUAUUUCAUUAAAAGACUCGGGAUGUCAUGUUCGUACAGAUCAAAAGCAUAAACAGUACAAUAUAAGCCUUACUACAUUAUUUCAUAUCUACAGGCCUAUAUCCGUAAUCCCUCGUCCAAAACAUCACAUCUAUGCUCAUGCGCCACUACCUGUAAUACAUAAAACUGAGUGGGUCAGGCUUGGGAGCCUGGUGAGCACAUAGGGUUUUCAACCCACAAUAAAUAAGUUUAUUAAUUUCAUCAAUCAACAAUAACCCGAUUACCCGUUCCCGUUAUCCUCACUUUACGUCCCUAAACACCUAUCAUAAGGGACCUAGCCUAAGGAUCAUCAUCGGGACGGACACUACUGCUAAGGGGAUUCCUCAGCAAUAAAUGUCCUAAAGGCAACCAUGUGGGGGAUGGAGUACACCGGUGAACACAUCGUUCACAAACACCUACAGGUUGCGAGCCUGCUAGUGUUCCACUGGACUGUCUAGAAGAGUCCGUGGUCGUCAUCCAUACUCCGCUAGAUGACAGAAACAACAACAUCAACAUCGAGGCCUCUCAUCAUUUUAUCACACAUCAGCUAUUACAUCUACCCAUGUUUUACCCCAACAUUUUCGUAGAUAUAAAAUACAUAUACAGUUUAAAUCAUUGAAAACAUGUAUAACAAUGUUCAUCCAGCAUAGAUAGCAAGUAUUCAGAUAAUAUGCACACAUAGCACGUAAUUUAUAUAAAAUACUUCAUAUCUAUGUGUAAGCUGAAAGUAACUAUGCACUCACCUGAUUAGGUGGUGACUCAGCACUCGGACAGCGCUUCGAUACUCUCAAAACGAUAUUCCUUCGAUAAAACCUAGUAUCGAUACCACUAGGGUUUAGUUUAACGAUAACCGCGACAAAUUAAUUAGUCCGAGUAUUAUUAAGCGUUAAUAAUACUCGAUAUAACUCAUAAUAAUAGCCCAAAUAAUUAUUUUAAGGACCUAAUAACAUUCCUAUAAUUAUUUGAAAGCUAUAUUAAAAAUUGCGUAAGCGUAGCACACUUACAGCGAAUUUUAUCGAGAACCGGGACUUAAUUGGAGCAGCGUUUCGAAACCGAAAAACUCCUUUUUCUCGGGACUCCGGGAGCCUCGGGGCUUCCCUAGGGUGCUAAGGGUUUUACCUAGGGCUUAGGAGGGUUUAGAUGAGCUAGAGAGAGAAACUAGUGAGAGAAAGAAGAGGUUUUGGGGUGAAGAGAAAUGGCAGCCUCGCACCUCAAUUUAUAGGGUCUGGCUUCGGACAUUACGCUGGGCGUACCGAGGGUACGCUGGGCGUACUCCUCGGAUAAGAUUGCCAGCCUCGGACCAGCUGUCUUGCACUCCAUCGGACGGAUAAGAACCGAAGUACGCGGGGCGUACUUGGCCUCGGACGCGGGGCGUUCUUCGGACGCUAGGCGUAUCCUCGCUACGCUGGGCGUAACCCUCGCACCAGGUGUCACCAUCCGAAGCGAUUUCAUCCGACGGCUGGGAGUUCGGCCACGUCAUCCUUUCAUGCAUCAGUUUCGCAAGUUUACUUUCCAACUUUAAAAAUUCGUAACUUUCUCAUACGAACUCCGUUUUUAACGUUCUUUAUAUCCACGCGAAGGUGGGAACGUACUCUACAACUUUCGUUUAGACUUCGUCGGCUAAUUUUGGCUCGAUUUUAAAUUUUAUAUUAUUAACGGGCCGGGACACGAUUGGUCCGUUAAAUCCUCAUAACUUCUUCAUCCGACAUCCGUUUUCACCCAUCUUUUUCUCGUUACGCUACCCUUAACGAGAUCUUCGAUUCUCGUUCAGGUCGUGUCGGCUAAAAACCGCUCGAUCUAAUAUUCGAAUUUCGGGCUGUACACUGCUAUUCCGAAACUUCGAAAAAUCAUAACUUCUUCAUACGAAGUCAGAUUUGGGCGUUCUUUUUAUCGAUGUUCUUAUUUUAACAUAUUCUACGACUUUCGUUUAGAUCGCUAAGGCUAAAUCUCGCUCUAUCGUAAAUUCACUAUUUACGCUUCCCGGUGCUGUGCCGGUUUUACCGUAAAACUUCGACGGGUCAUAACUUCUUCGUUAUAACUCGGAUUUCGGCGUUCCUUAUAUGCACGGAAACCUUGAGACAUAUUCUACAACUUUAUGUAGAGAUAUCGGGAUUAUCUUAUACUUUAAUUUUGACGCUUAUUUUUAUUAUUUAUUAAUUGUACAUUUAUAAUUUAAAUUAUAAGCACAUAAAUACACAUAAUUCACAUAAUACUUUAUUACUUCAAAAAGAGUUACAAGAGUUGACCUAGACUAUUACAUUGACAAAAAUGCUUAGCCCCGAAACCCGGGCGUUACACCUAAGGCUUGCAGGCAAACAUUACAGGAACGCGAUCUCCUUAUUGGCCAGUUUUUUCCGAACUUCCAUCUCAUCCCCAAACAAUACAGCCGCUUGGCUGUCUUCCUUCCUGACAAGGAUGCAAAACUUAUCUCAGUUUCACACCUAUAUCUGCUCCUGGAAACCUGAUCGAUUAUCCCCAACUUAGCUUCAACUAACAUUCCACAACACAUAAUAUUGGAAGGAUUCUCAAUCAUUCUUACUACCCAUGACCAAUCUGCUAGAAACCACGCUUACCAUUGCUAGUGUUUCAACACCAACUAAUCCAAAGGAUCACACCACCUCCAAGACCCCGAAUAAAUCUCCAGUAAUAACCUGCUAGACCUAGGAAGCUCCGAAUCUCAAUUGGAGACCUCGGAAUCUCCCACUGCAUCACGACCUCUAUCUUGGCCGAAUUAACUAAUACACCCUUCUGGUUGAUAGGGUGCCCAUGGAAUUGCACCUUGCGUAACCAUAACUCACAUUUGGAGAACCUUGCAAAAAAUUUAUCCCUCCUCAAAGUCUCUAGCACCUCCCUCAGGUGCUUCUCGUGCUGCUCCUCGAUUUUCGAAUAAACCAAGAUGACACUAUACUCUCCCAAUCCCGCAUGUGUUGUACUGAAUCUAACCCUGCUGGUCCCUCAAAAUCUAAUCCGGAAUCUAGGGUCUCCUCCCGAGACCCUCAUUAUAAGCAACGGAUCUGAUUCCCUCUUACCAAUGUGCUCCAAGUCCAUAUCUCGCUCUCAAGCUCAAGAAGUCAUAUCAUUCAGGGUCUUGCACCCCGAGAUACUCACGAUCUCCCUGCUAUCAUUCUACAAUAUGUUCUGAUAACUUACCUUCUUCCUUUCCUCAUCUACUGCAUAUUGUGGUACCAUAUAAGCUCUUUCCCGAGACUUGGAAGUGAUCUCUGCCACAGUCUCGGUCGUCUAGUGGAGAUCUAACAACUCUUGCGCCAACUGUAGCGCCUCAAACGCAUGGGCACACUCUGCCCAUAAUCUGGUCUAAAAUUCAUACCAUGACGUAGCAUCAACCGCAUCAUCACUCAACCUUCGACCAACAUCUUCCUAUCAAUCUCGUGCUCUGUCCCUCAGGAGAUAGGAAGUAUGUCAGAUCUUGUCUCCUUUUGUGACAACGUCUGGUACGAAAAGCGUUGAUGACAUCUGCCAACCAUCUGCUGCUAACAAUGGGGUCCCUAAUUCCCCAAUGACAAUCUGAAGCCUCACAGACUCUAAGUUCCCGAAACAUCAACGUACGGGUCCCCAUCAUGACUGCUAUCUCAGUGCAGAUUGCACUCGGCCUCUCAUCACAAGUCUCUAUAAUGCCCUCCUUGAUCAUAUUGGGGAUCACAUGAGUCUGGUCAAUGAUACUGCACAUAAUCUCAGAUGGAAUGAACUCCCUCAUCUGAUCAUCGAGCUGCCCGACUAUAGAGUCCGAGCUUGAUCCCUCGUCGACACUAGAACUACCAUCUGGUCUACCUCUAAGCGUUACUAUACAUGGAAAUAUACCAUCACGAUCAUCAUAAUACUCAUCAUACUCGAGGAAUCUCACACACUACGAGUUCCCUGGUCUUAUCAUAGCCUUCCUUGAUUCGAGUACGGAUCCUAUGCUUUCAGUAGUACGGGCCCAUACUACCUUCCACAUUUGUCCGUACUUUCCUCAAGAACUGCCUUGAGUCUACCAAGUCCCUUCUACUGCUACUGCUCUCUGCUACUCUCAUCUUAGGCUUGCCCUAGGGUAAUCACCAUUCCACUCUUUACCAUCAGUUGCAUAAGAAGUCCAUGCUUUUUUCCCCUAACGAGCUCGCGAAUACUAUUACAUAUCACUCAGACUAGAUAAUUCUUCGAAUGAGAGAUCCUACCCUACAAUGGUUGGACUCAAACAAGAGCUGCGAAAUAGAGCUAGACCUAACCUUCUGAAAUUAUUUAAUCCUCGCAAUAUGUAAUGUAACAUAUUUAUUUACUAGUUAGUAAAAGAUAUCUAAAACUCCUAAGAGCACAAAGCAAGCAGCAUUUGAUCAUCGAGUACACAUAAUCAAGCAUCUACUACUCUGGCUAUCAUACUGACAAUUCUGUACUAGCAUACAGUUCUCAUAAAGCUGGAACACAUAUAAUAGGCACAUAGGGCAUCCUUCCUAGAUCCUUAGUCCUAAUCUAGCAUGUUGUUCUAAAUAAGCUGAUAAUCAUAACAUAGCAUAAACAUGUAUGGGUAAUUUAGGAGUACUUACUUGAGCUCGGCUGAUUGCAUGCACCACACCCUUUUUCUCUUUUCAAAUUUCUUUUCUUUCAAAAAAAUUCUUUUCGUUUUUCUAAAACUCGUUGCUUUUGAAAACUUUAUACCACUUCCUUAGUUUGAGUUUAGACACACUCGGAAGUACGCCUGAAUCCCUCAAACCAAGGCUCUGAUACCAACUAGUAACAUCCCAAAAAUACAGUCUAAAAAUUUCGUUUUAAUUUAAUAAUAAAACCAUAGUUAUCGAACAUCAUAUAAAAAUCAUAAGCAAUGUAUCUCAAAAUAUCGUAACAAUUGUCAAAAUAUCAGAUUAUAAACAUCCCAAGCUGAACAGAUGGUGUGUGCACUGCAAUCUUCCCAAGCUCCUCUUUUGAAAACUGAGUACCUGAAACCAAAACUGAAACUGUAAGCAUGAAGCUUAGUGAGCUCCCCCAAACUACCACAUACCAUACAAUAACAUAUAAAGCAAAUAUUGGGUCUUGCCCACUACAUCGGACCGAAGUCCGGAAUAACUAGGGCCUCGCCCACUGCAUCAUACCGACGUCCGGAAUAACUAGGGCCUUGCCCACGGCAUCGGACCGAAGUCCGGACUAACUAGCGCCUCGCCCACUGCAUCAUACCGAAUUUCAGAAUAACUAGGGCCUUGCCCGCUGCAUCGGAACGAAGUCCGAACUAACUAGGGCCUCGUCCACUGCAUCGGACCGAAGUCCAGAAUAACUAGGGCCUUGCCCGCUGCAUCGGACCGAAGUCCGGAAUAAACUGAACAUAGCAUAAACAUGAUCGUAAACAUAUAACAUAAUCACAUAUACAUGCAUGAAUCAUAAAGACAUCAAGCAUAAAAAACUAAUUCUCGGGACUACCGCCGGCAUCGGACGACAGUCUGGAACUACUAUCAUCUAAACGCGCCGACAUUGUGGCCGUAGACCUGCUCCUGCUGGAAGGAAACUCACCUCUCACUGCUGAAGUCCCGCUGACAAAACCCUAGCUUCUAGAUGACAUAUUCCCGAAUCUGUCAAUUAUCAAAAUAACACCCAAUUAAUAAUUGGGUUCCAACUCAUAACCAUAAGUCCAUACAUGGGGUAAAAGACUACUUUACCCCUAUCUUAGCUUAACUCAAUCCCAAGGCCCAAUCCAAAGGCCCAAAAGUCUAAUAAUGGACCAAGGCCCAACUAUGGCCCAUCUAUGGCCCAAUUUUCCCAAUUGGGCCCAAGUCCCUACAUGGUCUUGAUCAAAGGCCCAACCAUUUAGUCUAGUCCAACAUUUGGCAUUCUAUUGGUCCAAUAUCAUAUAACCAUCAAGCCCUAAACUAUAGUCCAUCCAUGGCCCAAUUUUCCAAUUUGGGGCCAAUCCUUCAUAUGGGCCUUACCCUAAAGCCCAUCUAAUUACUCUAGUCCAUUUAAUUAUUCUUGGAUGGCCCAUUUAUAACCAGUUACCAAAGCCCAAAGGAAAGGCCCAACUCAAGGCCCAAGUGAAAUUAGGGUUUCACAUAAAAUGACGAUCAGGGUUAAGUGUUUCUCACUCAACCCAUUAAGAACUUAACCCACUAAGGACUUAAUCCAUUAAGGACUUAAUCCAUUAAGCCCAAUAUUGCUUAGAUUAAUUUCUACCAAUGAUUAUUAUCUAAUAUUUCAAGUUAUUAAAUAAUUCUCGUGUGUUUACCGAUAAAUUCUCAAAAUUAGGGUUUUAUUGGCAUUAGGGAUUUCCAAACCCUAAUUAGGGUUUCCAACCCAAAUACUAGCCCAUUUAUCAAUUUGUUGGGCCUUUGGGUAAAUUAGGGCUUUAUUGGGCCUAUUAGGCCAACUAGGAUAUCAUUAAGCCCAUUAGUCACAUGCUUGAGCUUUUAGGUCCAUUAAGCUUCAUUUGGCCCAUUAAGGCUUAUCAAGCCCAUUAGGGUUUUAAUCCCUUGUCCAAGAUUCCAAAUGAACCACAACACAAACGAGGCACACCGCCACCCGACAAGGCGGCCGGUGGCGGCAACCACCACCCUACAGUGGUGGUUUUGAGAUUUCUAUUAUUAUUGCGUCUUUUGUUACAAAUUACAACGAAAAUCCCAAAAAUAAACACACACACACUAAAAUACACCCACCCAUGGUUGUACAAGGCGGCAGCCAACACCUCACGGUGGUGGCGGUGGCUUUCUUUGAUUUUCCGGCCAAUGAACACUUCAUGCUACUCUUCAUCGGAAUAAACCCGCACACACCCAUAUGUACUCAUAGCCACCCCACACACGGUGGUCGAAGGUGGCAGAAACAAAAUGGUGGUAGCCAGCAUGGUUGGCUGCCAUGGUGGCUCUCUUCAACAUCCAGCCAGCCAACAAAACGCACAAUACACGAGCGCAACAACGAUUUACACUCACACACACGCGAAGCAUGAGCACCCACCCCGCAGUAACACUUCAAACCCGAAGGAGGAAGACGGCGACGGAUAAACUAGCUUCAGCGGCUACGAUCGGCGUUGUCAGUGGCAGAUAAAGCUGGAAACGAAACAGAAGAGGGAGAAGAGAGGGAGCGUCCGAGAGCGACAGCGUUUCUGGUGGUUCCACGAUUCCCACACGACAACAGCACCUUCACGGUGCUCCUUUGACCGGCCAUGGUGGUUUUGCGACGUUCGGGGGUUGGCUUUUACGACUUCUUGUCUUCACGGUGGCGGAGGAAGGAUGGCCUUGGUUGGGGAAUGACCUGCUUUUCGGACUCAUAUGAUCGGAACCGCAUGGUAGGGUGGCGUCUGGAGGUGAAGAAGGGGGGGAGGCAUAAGGAGAUGACGGCUGGAAGGGUUUUCUAGGGUUAGGGUUACAGAUCCUUAUAUACUCGAUCCCAUUAUAAGAGUUUUCCAUAAUGACCAGAAUGGUCCCCCAGCUCUAAUUAAUUUCAAAAUAGAUCCAUAUUUUACACUUUUAACACUGCCUUCAGAAAUCUUUACAAACCGAAUCCAAAACUUACCUUUUAAGCCCUAAUCCCAUAAAAUCUUUCAUAAUAGAUCCCUAAAUUACCAAUAAACCCUUAAGCCUUCAAAUCUUUUCAAUUUAAGUCCAUAAAUUACCAAACGCACCCUGACCUUCGAAAUCCCUUUCAAUUUAAUCCCGAACUUACACUUUUAACCCCUAACUUUUAAAAUCCUUCACAAAUUAGUCUGGGGCUUACAUUUACUAAUUUAUUUAAAUAAACGGGGCGUUACAAUAGUUUACAAGAUAUUCAUGACACUACACAUACUAUAAACACUAUGACGAGGAAACACUUAUAAAUACAAGAAAAAUGGACCUUUCAUACGUAAAUUUAUUGAUACUAACUUAUGUAAGACAUUUGACUUCACCGUAGUUUUAAAUACGCAUUUCGAGUCCUAUAUUAUAAACCAUAAUCUCUUGUAGGGAGAGCGUGCUACUUGUGUAUAGAUCUAUAUGGGACUGACAAUUCCGCGCCUAAAUUGUUAGCUAUAGUUAGACCGGCAGGUCUGGGGUGACAAACGGCAUAUCAUUUCAAUGCCUGAAGAACGUUGCUAUAGGUAGUCUGGGUCAAUAGCAUGGUUAUAAAACUCACAUGAAGUAUUAAAAUAUUUUGAUUUAUGGGGAUAUUAAGCGCCUUAGUGAUUAUAUAUCCAUAUAUAAAUCUACUUACACUAUUUUAGGUAUGGAAAAUACUAAUGCGUUUUGGUUUGGAACUUUUAAAACUACCACACAUUUAUGGAAAAUAUUGGAUUUUCUAGAAACAAACUCAAUUAUUUUAUACGGAAAGGCAUACAAUUCUAAUAAGAAAACACUUAUGAACUUACCAACUGAAUUGUUGACACUUUUUCAAAACUACUUGUAUUUCUCAGGGAUUCAGUAAUACAGGUAAACAUCAGCUUUUGGGGAAAGGACGCUAAGACGUCAGUUCAAAACUUAUUUCAUCAUCAUAUUGUAAUUUACUUUUGAAACAUGUAAUACGACAAUCAUGUAAACUCUUCAAUUAUAUAUAUAUAUAUAUAUGGUGGUUGUGUUUGCUUUCUUUUCUAUUACGCAACCAUUAUGAUACUACGUGAAGUCAUCCACCCUCGAACGAUUCCGCCAUUCUGGUUUGGGGGUGUGACAGAUUGGUAUCAGAGCAUUGUUUAUAGUGAACUAAGUAUAUCGAACCGCACAAGAUAUACAAACUAUAAAUGCAAAGGGACUAAAAAUCUCUUACUAAAACGUUUUCACACAAACUAUACUUUAUUAAAUUAAAAUGUUAGUUUCUUAAAAGUAUAAAUACAUGUGUGCACAACAGUUUAAUGUCAUAGUUAGACCUAUAUGAAAGUAUUAAGACAAGUUGGACACUAUGAUUAAGCCUCGGAGUACGUAAUCAGAUCAAGGAUGAAUAUAGGCAGAACGAGGCAAUAGCUGACCCCACGGUGGUUACGGGUACGUUUCUUCUCAACAACACUUAUGCAUGCAUACUCUUUGAUUGUGGUGCGGAGAGGAGUUUCGUGAGCCAUAAAUUCAAACACUUACUUAAACAAAACCCCCAAUCACUCAAUAAGAUAUUUACAGUAGAAAUGGAAAACAGUUGUAACAGCCCAAAAUCUCAAGUAUUGCUAAAUUGCAUUUUGGGGUGUUUUAAAGGGGAGACUCGGCGAGUUGGAGCCAGACUCGCCGAGUAGGGUCGCAGAGUUGGUCGCGGGUUCGCGACUGGACUCGACGAGUCCAGGUAUGGACUCGGCGAGUCGACGCUGUUCAGCGGAAACCCUAGCCGUUCAGUAUUGGGUCGUAUAUAAGGGUUAUUAUGCCGUCAUUUCACGACUUUGGAUCGAUUGGGAAGAACCCUAGGCGACUGGGGCGGCUAGAGCAAGCUUGAAGGCCAUUGGUGACCUUGAAGGAAUUGUUGUGCAAGGAGGAGAAGGGUUUUAGCUAAAGGAACUGCAGGGAGUUCGAGUUCUGAAGUUUGGGGACAUGGAAGGUACAUCAUUCAGGUAAUAAUUCGGAUUACAUUCUCCUGUGAUUGAUGUGUAUAUAGAUUUAGGGUUUAUGGAACCCAUUUGGAGUCUAGAUGGAUUGUUGUGUUGUUAUUCAACGUUUAUAACCUUGUAUUAGGACCCUUAGAGGUCCAGAAGGUCCCAUGUUUGUAUAUUCGAGAAUAUAUGUAUCUCAGGAAGCAGUUCGAUCGACUGCAUGGCGUAGACUCGCCGAGUCGGAUGAUCAGACUCGGCGAGUAGCUUGAAGAUUCACUGGGACUCGCCGAGUUUGUUCUUCAGGCUCGGCGAGUAGAGUCGGGGUGGCCCCGCGAUUCUUCCACGAGGACCUCGUCGAGUCAAGAGGGAUACUCGACGAGUAGAAAGGGAUCAUGCAGGAAUUGGUGAGGACGACUAGACUCGCCGAGUCGCCAGGGUACUCGCCGAGUCCAGUCGAGAUGGCCGUUGACCAGAGUUGACCUGUGUGUAACGUUUUAGGGUCAGUUAACGUGGAAGAUAGAAGUAUUAAAAAGAGAUAUAUGAUGAGACAGGGAGCUUGUAGCUCGGAGGAUCAAGUGCAAGAGAUUUCAGGAGUUGCUAUCUUCCAGUGUCCGCGAGGUGAGUCUUCUCACUAUACUGUACCCGGAAGGGUUUGACUGUGUGACCGGAAGGUCGGAUAUGAUAUGUGAUAUGUAUGCUAUAUGUGGUAAGUUAUUUGUUAUAUGUGCUAUGUAUGUUAUGGGCCGGAAGGCGAUUAUAUUAUGGGCCGGAAGGCAAUAUGUUAUGGGCCGGAAGGCGAUAUGAUGUGUGAUGGACCGGAAGGUCGGCGUGGGUAAGGCCGGAAGGUUUACCCAGCAGGGACGGAAGUCCCCUGAGACACAUGGACCGGAAGGUCGGGCCUGGAAAGGCGUAUGUGCGUAAGUUGUAUAUUGGGGAACUCACUAAGCUUCGUGCUUACAGUAUUUAUGUUAUGUUGUUUCAGGUUCUUUCAGUAACGCGGAAUGGCAUCGGCUCGAUUGUACACACCGAGGAAAGAGUUGUAUUUUGGAGGAUCCUGGUUGUCUAUUCAAAUGAAAAUGGAACUAUGUUUUGUAAUUCGAAUAUGAAUAAGAUUUUAAACAAGUGUUUUAAUAUUAAAUUGAUUAUUUAAAUGAAAAAUUUUGCUUUGAAAAUCACGGUGUUACAUUUGGUAUCAGAGCCUUGGUUUGAGGGAUUCGGACGCGCCUACGGGUGAGUCUGGACUCAAACUGAGGAAUUAAGAAAAGGUUUUCAAAUAAAUAGUUUUCUAAAAGUGAAUAAGAGUUCAAAGAGAAAGCAAGAAAGAGCAGUGUGUACAAUCAGCCAGAGCCAAACGGUGAUUUCCCAAAAUACCCUUACUUUUGUAUUAUGAAAUAUCUAUUAUGCACUUUAUGAGACAUUAUUGCAUGCUAGAGACAGGCUAGGUAUUUCACAUCUUAGGACUAGAGUGGCCUGAUUUGUGAUGCCUUAGUCUAGGGUUUGCUGUUAUAUGUGCGUUAUGCUUUUGUGUGUAUGUGAUGAGUGAGAGUAUCUAGUUAGAACGCACAAGGGGUAAAGCUACGGGGUACAGAGGUACUUCCGAGGAUGAGCCGAGAAGGUGGAGCUACCACAGAUGGGGAGUCCUAUGUAUGCUUCAAUGCUCGAAUGCUGCUUGCUUUGUGCUUUGUGGAGUUAUCGAUGAUGGGAGUCAGCUACUAAGUGAGUAUGACGAUACUCAGGAGGUAGAGGGCUGGCAUCAUUAGGAACUCUUCAGCAGCUGAUAGCAAAGAAGUGGGAGGACAGCGGAAGGGACUAGGGAGUAAACCUAGCCAGAUGAGUGCGCUGGUAGAGUAGAGGAUUUCGCUGGAAAGCGAGCACGCGCGAUGAGAUGGGUGAAAGAGCAGGUUUAUCAGCUACUUAGGAACUCUGGGAUGGUCCGUGUGGAAAGUAUGGGUAGAUGUGGCAGGUAGUAUGGGCCCGUACUACUGAAAGCAGAGGACCCAUACUUGAUACAGGGGGCAUUCUGAAGGUCCUAAGGAACAGAUUGAGGGGUGAUGUUAUGGUUCGGAUACCAUACAUCGGAGCGGAUACAGAGUGAUGUUAUGGUCCGGGCACCAUACAUCGGAACAGAUUGAGAUAGAUGUUGUGGUCCGAGUGCUAUACAUUGGAGCAGAUUGAGGAGUGGUGCUAUGGUUCAGGUACCAUACACCGAAGCAUGUUGAGGAGGGAUGUCAUGGGAUGAGUACCAUGGUUCGUAGUGGAUGAUGCUUGUGGCUAUCUUGUUAUCCGGUUAUCGAUCGGACGAGCACGAGCGAGCGGGAUGCGAGGAUUCGCGAGAUCCUGCGUGAUGAGGUUGCUGCAUUGUUGCGGGCUGAGUCGCCAGAAUUGUUUGGGUCGAUCAGGACCACUAUGAUUGAAGUAGUUUGAUGAGCGAUAUGCGGCUUUCGCAGAGACGGCUGCCGCGGCGGUUACAGCGGCUGUAGCAACGGCAAAGAAAGGGGCUAGUCGGGGUUUUCAGUAUCGGGACUUCUAUUAUGCGAAGCCUCCCACAUUCGAUGGAGUUCAGGACUCGAUUGUUGCUAUGAGAUGGUUAUCAGACAUGGAGGGGUGUUUCUCCACGAGUUUAUGCCCUGCUGAUCAGAGGGUGGGGUGUGCUCUGAACCUGUUGAGGCUCGGGGCGAAGGAUUGGUGGAGAUUGACCACGAGGUCAUUUUCCGAUGCGCAGAGGGCUGCGGUUUCAUGGGAUCAAUUCAGAGGGAUGUUCAGUACUCGCUAUGUUCCGCGGGAUGAAAAGGAGAAAUUGGCUCGGAAGUUCCUUAAGCUGAAGCAGGAUUUGGAGUCGGUGACUGAGAGCACCGGGAUGUUUAUUGAGAGGGCGAUGUUUUGCCCUGAGUUCGCUUCGGAGCAGGCUCAGAUGUCCCGAUAUCCGAGUAUGCUCAAAAGGGGGUAUCAGACAGUUCGUGUCUGCGCGGAGGUGCGAGACCCUGUUGGAGUUGCAGAAGGCCGCCAUGUGGCGUGAGUUAGAGGUUAAGUUGCAGUUGCGUGAGCUGAGACAGGCCCCGAUGCAGUCGCAGUCGGCGCCGAAACGGUUCAGGACCGUAGACGUUGAAAUGGGGGAUCGGAGCGGUCACACUUGUGGGAAGUGUGAGAGAGAUGGCACCGGAGCUUGUUGUCCCAAUGGUGCAUGCCGCGAGUGUGGAAAGGAGGGGCUUGGUGCACGGGGUUGUCGGCAGUCAGUGCCAAUUCGGGAUUCCAGGAUUUGUUAUCAGUGUCGGCAGGUUGGACAUUUGAGGGUCAAAUGUCCACAGCUUUUGCAGGAUCGGUGCAGGCUCUAGCACCGGCCACCUUGAGGAGUUCAGGAGGAGGACAGGAUGGAGUAGAGCCCAAGGGCUCAGGGUUGUGCUUAUCGGCUUGCGGCAGAGGGAGACGGAGCAGUGCCGGAGGCAGCUGCGGGUAUGAUGCUGUCUUGAUGUCUUGAUUAGCUUGCGUUGUUUGUGGCGUAUUGUUUGUGCUGGUAGUGUGGAUUUCGAUGCGGUAUUCGUUGUUUCGCGGGGUUGGCAUGAUUAUGGAUUAGUGCUUCAGGUUUUGCUUCGGCAUUCGUUGUUCCCUGAUGGUUGGGUAUGGUUAUAGUCUGGUGUUUUAGUGCCGAUAGCUUUGUGCGGUUUUCGAUGUGGUAUCCAUCCUUUGGCAGAUUGCGGGUUUUGGUUACGGAUUAUUGUUGAGAAUUUCGUUGGUUAUCGUUGGUGGGGGUUGUUAGUGGAGAUGCGGCACUGGGUUGAAUGAUGGGUAGCAUCUGCAGUUGUGGAGUGGAUAAUUGAAAGAUCGGAUUCUUUUGAGCGGAUUGAUCAGGGAGGAGAGGUGUUUUGCUGAGGGUUGCUUACGCUUGUGGGAAGCAGUCAGUGGGUAAAUGUUCUCUUUGUGCAGGAUGGUUCUGAAAGGUCGUUAAUGACGAUCGGUGGCAGUUAGUCAGUGCUUUAGUGGGGGAGAAUUGUAAAAUUCUCCGGGAGAUCGAUGAGUAUGUAAGGGUGCUUAGCUGUUGGGAUUCAGCAGUGUUUGUCAGCGCAAAGUAUAGGCCGACGAGAGCGAGUGUUGGGUAUGCGGGGCGAGAUACAGACCUAGGGCAUUUGAUUGUGGAGGC
This 29943-nucleotide long non-coding RNA is filed under the name Lactuca sativa (garden lettuce). RNAcentral describes it as "long non-coding RNA (LSAT_LNC001732)". Lineage: Eukaryota; Viridiplantae; Streptophyta; Magnoliopsida; Asterales; Asteraceae. The record is from RNAcentral.